RNAcentral lists this long non-coding RNA (1698 nucleotides) under Mus musculus (house mouse). RNAcentral describes it as "RIKEN cDNA 5830448L01 gene (5830448L01Rik)". Lineage: Eukaryota; Metazoa; Chordata; Mammalia; Rodentia; Muridae. The record is from RNAcentral.
AAGCUUCUGCUACCGAGUCCCCGAAGCAAGGCCUCUCGGUGACGGCUAGAGGCGGAGGAGACGACGGGGAAAAAGAAUUCGGGACUCAAAUCAACCGGACCGGGUUUGGAAAAGAGAAGUCAAAUCAAGUAGCCGGAGAAGAACUCAAAAGGCAAAAUUAAGAGGUGGGAAGGGAAAGAGUUUCUUGCGAUCCUCCGGUGCCCAACUUCCUUAGAAGCCAGGUGAGCAACGAGCCUCGCGCCGCCCCUGCCGCCUCCACCCGCCCCAACUCACUCCGGGCCUAGGCAGCCGCCCGAGACCUCACUUACCCUCGGCGCCUGGCGGGUGCUUUGGCCUCGGGCCGCCUCCGCCUCUCCGGCUCCCAACGGCCCGCGGGCGGGCGCGGGAGCCCCGCGCGAGAGACCAGUGCCGACCGGUGCCACCGAGAGGGGCGAGGGGCUCUGCUGCCGUCACAGUCCGCGGCUCCGCUUCGGUAAAUAGGAAGCUCGGGCGACAGGGGGGGUGGGGGGUGAGCGGCGGCCCCGCAACUUCCCUCCCCACCUCAGGCGCGCCGGCCGGACAGGGCCUAGGCCUCCCUGGCGGCCGCCGCCGGUGCCGAGCCCGCUACGUGCCCCCGCUGGGCCGCCGCCGCCUUCUGCGCCGCCGCCUCCGCCGGUGAAUGGUCAGCGCUGGAGUUUGAACAGGGCCCUGAACCAUCUCAACGCCAUUUGCGCUCCCGGCCCCCCACCUCCUUCCUCCAACAGCCGCUCGCUCCGUCACUCCGCUUCCCACAGGCCCCGCGCGGCCGCCCGACUCCGCAGCCAAUCGUACGGCCUCUUACUCAAACCGCCGCGCAGGCGCCGCGCCCCGCACGCGCCGGCUACCACCAUUGGUCGGACCGCGUGGCCCGACGGGAGUUGUAGUUCUCUCUUCCGCAAGGUCCUGGUGUCUAAAGCCCGGUUCCGGAGCUGGCGAACGGUAUAGGUUCUGGCUAAGGGCCUGCUGGACUUCACCGACUCCGGAGCCAGUCCCAGUUCCUAGCCACGCGACGAGACGCAGGUGCAGCGCGGGAAGGCUCGCGGCACAGUGCAGGCAGCUGUGUCAAUCGUUUCCCCUCCAGGGACCCUCCGGUGUCUAGGGACAGAGACUUGUGCAGCUGCGCCGAGCCUGCUGGGCCACCGCCCGGACCUUGGAGGCGGGGAACUUGGGGCCGCCUUUGACCUGGUCUGACGGUGCGAGAGAGCCAACGCAGGUAAACGAGCAGCGAAACCUGGAGCAGUCGGGUGCUGGUCUCCUCGCAGCCGGGAUCCGCUUCAGCCGGCCACUUCAUCCUCUCUCUCCUUUCUUGUUCAGUCCCCACUACGGAGUUCUGUCCCCUACCUGUUAGCAAUGACACCCCACACCCCCACCCCACCCCCGCUCCCCGAGUAUUUUAUGUUACUAAGGAAUUAUCGUCAUCCUUAUCGAACGUGCUUACGGUAAUGUGGCUUUAAAUUUAAAACACACACACACACACACACACACACUAAAGUGUUGAUAGGUAAAAUGAUCCAAUACGUUUAUUUUGUUUUAGACUAAGCCUCUGGAAACUGGGAAAGAAGGGAAUAAAUUAACUGAGGAUGUCCUUCGAUGUUGGAGCUGUGGGAUAUGUACACAUAUGCUAUCAUACCAGUAUUUAUGUCUCAAAUUGUUCAUAAUAAAGUUUUGGUUUGGGGGGGA